UGGGGAAUCAUGGUCAAUGGGCGAAAGCCUGACCCUGCGACGCCGCGUGAGUGAUGAAGGUCGUAAGAUCGUAAAACUCUUUUCAGGGAGCUUAAAGCACAACCGUCAACAACGGCUGUGUGUGACUCUCCCUGGAAGCAGCCCCAGCCAACUACGUGCCAGCAGCUGCGGUAAUACGUAGGGGGCGAGCGUUAUUCGGACUUACGGGGUGUAAAGGGUAUGUAGGCGGCCCUUCAAGUCGCGUGUCAAAGUCCAGUGCUCAACGCUGGGUGUG
RNAcentral lists this ribosomal RNA (274 nucleotides) under uncultured prokaryote. RNAcentral describes it as "partial 16S ribosomal RNA". It matches the Rfam family "Bacterial small subunit ribosomal RNA", at positions 355 to 623 of the family's 1533-position model. The record is from RNAcentral.